UGUAGUUUCGAAAGUUAAAAGCAAGUGACUAUGCCUAUAACUUCGGCCAGGGUGACCUUCUACCACCGCUUACCAUAUACUAAUUGAUUUAAAUUUAUUUAUUUUUGGUCACUAACAAGCUUUUAAUUGCAUCGGGAAAAAAUAAAAAAUAAACUGUUGAAGUUUUAUACUUAAAACGUUUCAAAGAUCCAUCAUAUUUCUUUGAAAAGAAUCUUUUCAGUUUUAGAAAGAAUAAUCUUCUUCUUUAUAUUUACUUCCUUUGAAUUUUCUUCCUACAUUUUCAUUUACAUCGUAUCCUAUUAAGUAAACUACUUUUUCCUUCUAUAUACUACAGUUUACCACUGCAAUAAUUAUGUUUUUUUUUUUUUUUUUAAAUUCAGUAGGAUCAUAAUUUUUAGGGUUUUUUUGUUAGAGUUGGAAGUACAUUGGAAUUAUCAACUCAUCAAUCUCGACUUUUGUAACAAGCUUAAGGUCUGUUGAUACUCAGAAAGUGCAGCUGCUUUGCAAUAAUAAGAUAAGCAUGUGAUGUUUGGCAGGAGUGCUUUUCUCUUGUAUGCCACCAUAAGCUGAAUCAAAUUUCUUGUUCUUUCAAAAAUGGAGGAAAGUGAGGCUUCAACUAUACCUGAUGGGGAGUUGAUUGGAAUUAAGUUCGACCUUGCAAGCGAUCAUGAAAAUUUUAAGUAGGCAGCUCAAUUUUUCAGUCAUAUGCUUUAUGUGUGUCAUGAUAUACAAUGCUGCUAGUUAGUUUGGUCGGUUUGUAUACUUCGUAUUUUUUUUUAUCAAUAAGUCUUGUAUUGAUUUUCAUUGCUCCCUGAUGGUUUUAUAAAGUACUAUUGUUGCUCUGUAUUAGCUUCCUAGUUUGGGCAUAUCCUGCUGUCUAGCUUGAUUUAGGUUGUGAAAUCUUUUUUUUUUUCCUGCUGAAAUCAAGCCUCUACAAAAGCAAAUGUACACCCUAGUGAUGAAAAAUAAUCGGUGGGAGUCUUUUCUUUUGAAGCGUAAAGAGUGUAAUAUAGUUUGGUUAAUUAUCAUGGAAUUGUACAUAUAUCUGAUUAUUAUAUUAUUUGUAUAUGGUGGUUGUGCAAGAGAUGGACAAAUAUAGUUUCUUGUUUUUGUAGUUAUAAUCUGCUACACA
This is a long non-coding RNA of Chenopodium quinoa (quinoa), 1132 nucleotides long. RefSeq lists it as uncharacterized. NCBI's taxonomy places the organism in Eukaryota, Viridiplantae, Streptophyta, Magnoliopsida, Caryophyllales, Amaranthaceae. The transcript has 3 exons. The record is from RefSeq and is a predicted model, not a curated record.